CCUACGGGAGGCAGCAGUGAGGAAUAUUGGUCAAUGGGCGGGAGCCUGAACCAGCCAAGUCGCGUGAGGGAAGACGGUCCUACGGAUUGUAAACCUCUUUUGCCGGGGAGCAACGGGUUCCGUUCGAGGGCCCAAUGAGAGUACCCGGAGAAAAAGCAUCGGCUAACUCGGUGCAAGCAGCCGCGGUAAUACGAGGGAUGCGAGCGUUAUCCGGAUUUAUUGGGUUAAAGGGGUGCGUAGGCGGGCUGUUAAGUCAGCGGUCAAAUGUCGGGGCCCAACCCCGGCCUGCCGUUGAAACUGGCAGCCGUGAGUGGACGAGAAGUAUGCGGAAUGCGUGGUGUAGCGGUGAAAUGCAUAGAUAUCACGAAGAACUCCAAUUGCGAAGGCAGCAUACCGG
Molecule: ribosomal RNA, 397 nt
Filed under: uncultured bacterium
Lineage: Bacteria
Description: partial 16S ribosomal RNA
Rfam family: Bacterial small subunit ribosomal RNA
Source: RNAcentral